RNAcentral lists this ribosomal RNA (117 nucleotides) under bacterium. The record is from RNAcentral.
GCUGGUGAUUAUUCUGGAGGGGCCACACCUCUUCCCAUCCCGAACAGAGUCGUUAAGCCCUCCAAGGCCCAUGGUACUUAGGGUGUAUACCCUAGGGAGAGUAGGUAGUCGCCGGCU